CAUGCCCCUUAUGCUUAGGGCUACACACGUGCUACAAUGGGUAGUACAGAGGGUUGCCAAGCCGUAAGGUGGAGCUAAUCCCUUAAAGCUACUCUCAGUUCGGAUUGUAGGCUGAAACUCGCCUACAUGAAGCUGGAGUUACUAGUAAUCGCAGAUCAGAAUGCUGCGGUGAAUGCGUUCCCGGGUCUUGUACACACCGCCCGUCACACCACGGGAGUUGGAGACGCCCGAAGCCGAUUAUCUAACCUUUUGGAAGAAGUCGUCGAAGGUGGAAUCAAUAACUGGGGUGAAGUCGUAACAAGGUAGCCGUAUCGGAAGGUGCGGCUGGAUCACCUCCUUUCUAAGGAGA
Molecule: ribosomal RNA, 349 nt
Filed under: Clostridioides difficile
Lineage: Bacteria; Bacillati; Bacillota; Clostridia; Peptostreptococcales; Peptostreptococcaceae
Description: bacterial SSU rRNA
Rfam family: Bacterial small subunit ribosomal RNA
Source: RNAcentral